GAUGAACGCUGGCGGCGUGCCUAAUACAUGCAAGUCGAGCGAACAGACGAGGAGCUUGCUCCUCUGACGUUAGCGGCGGACGGGUGAGUAACACGUGGAUAACCUACCUAUAAGACUGGGAUAACUUCGGGAAACCGGAGCUAAUACCGGAUAAUAUAUUGAACCGCAUGGUUCAAUAGUGAAAGACGGUUUUGCUGUCACUUAUAGAUGGAUCCGCGCCGCAUUAGCUAGUUGGUAAGGUAACGGCUUACCAAGGCAACGAUGCGUAGCCGACCUGAGAGGGGGGUCGGCCACACUGGAAAUGGGACACGGUCCAGGCUCCUAAGGGAGGCAGCAGUAGGGAAUCUUCCGGAAUGGGCGGAAGGCUGGCGGAGCAACGGCGCGGGAGUGAAGAAGGUCUUCGGAUCGUAAAACUCUGUUAUUAGGGAAGAACAAAUGUGUAAGUAACUAUGCACGUCUUGACGGUACCUAAUCAGAAAGCCACGGCUAACUACGUG
RNAcentral lists this ribosomal RNA (497 nucleotides) under uncultured bacterium. RNAcentral's name for it is "partial 16S ribosomal RNA". It matches the Rfam family "Bacterial small subunit ribosomal RNA", at positions 28 to 507 of the family's 1533-position model. The record is from RNAcentral.